Molecule: ribosomal RNA, 651 nt
Filed under: Trichoderma asperellum
Lineage: Eukaryota; Fungi; Ascomycota; Sordariomycetes; Hypocreales; Hypocreaceae
Description: eukaryotic LSU rRNA
Rfam family: 5.8S ribosomal RNA (bases 181-334)
Source: RNAcentral
UAAGUACGUCGCUCCAAUCCAAUGUGAACGUUACCAAACUGUUGCCUCGGCGGGGUCACGCCCCGGGUGCGUAAAAGCCCCGGAACCAGGCGCCCGCCGGAGGAACCAACCAAACUCUUUCUGUAGUCCCCUCGCGGACGUAUUUCUUACAGCUCUGAGCAAAAAUUCAAAAUGAAUCAAAACUUUCAACAACGGAUCUCUUGGUUCUGGCAUCGAUGAAGAACGCAGCGAAAUGCGAUAAGUAAUGUGAAUUGCAGAAUUCAGUGAAUCAUCGAAUCUUUGAACGCACAUUGCGCCCGCCAGUAUUCUGGCGGGCAUGCCUGUCCGAGCGUCAUUUCAACCCUCGAACCCCUCCGGGGGAUCGGCGUUGGGGAUCGGGACCCCUCACCGGGUGCCGGCCCUGAAAUACAGUGGCGGUCUCGCCGCAGCCUCUCCUGCGCAGUAGUUUGCACAACUCGCACCGGGAGCGCGGCGCGUCCACGUCCGUAAAACACCCAACUUCUGAAAUGUUGACCUCGGAUCAGGUAGGAAUACCCGCUGAACUUAAGCAUAUCAAUAAGGCGGAGGAAUCUUUAGGACUACCCGCUGAACUUAAGCAUAUCAUAACGGAAGAGAGAGAUCACCUCGCGGGGUAACCCCCAGGUGGAAAAA